This is a long non-coding RNA of Nicotiana attenuata, 833 nucleotides long. RefSeq lists it as uncharacterized. The transcript has 4 exons. NCBI's taxonomy places the organism in Eukaryota, Viridiplantae, Streptophyta, Magnoliopsida, Solanales, Solanaceae. The record is from RefSeq and is a predicted model, not a curated record.
CCCAUCUAGCAGAAACUCAACUUUUCUUUUCCUGUGAUUUUUCACGAUUUCCUCUGAUUUUCCACUAUCAAAAACCAAAAGUCAAAAACAUACAACGCUUCAAAAACAACGGUUUCUUUUCCAACAGAUUCUUUACUUUCUCUGUUCCCCUCUUCUCUUCUUUCUCUGUAUUCAUCCUCUUUAUCUUUCUAUUUUCCUAUUAUCCUCUUUGCUUCACCUUUAUUGAUUUACUUUAAUUCCUUUGCUAAUCUCUAAAUUCUUUCCUCAACGCCGUUUCCAAUUGCUUUUUCUGGUUACUUUCGCUUUGAUUCUUCAUUCUGCUCCGUUUUUCACUUACUCCUUUGCCAGCGCAGAACAAGUGGAUAACAAUUGCUUAUUUUGACGCCCAUGAAGUGUUCGAAAAUAUGCCCCAUAGUUGACCUUGCCCACGGAUUCAAGAUUGCUGCAAAUUUACUCAGCACUUGCCGGUUGAUAGAUGGUAGUGCAAACUAACAAAAGGCCGUCAAGAGAUUCAAUUUUACCUUCUCCAUUCGUAUUUGAGGUACCUGGCACGUGAUGUUGCUGCUCUUUAAGAUGCUGCCAUUCAGUUUAUUCAGUAGAGCAGAGAUGAGCAACUACGUCAACGUUGAAUUUCUCUUUGGAUCAGUUUGUGUUUCCUCAACUCUCAGUAUUUUUUUGUUUCCACAUUAUUACCUCCACUUUAUAGUUGUAAAAAAGUAAAUUGUCCAAUUAAGCUUUCAAAUAAAUUAUAGUAAAUAUUUAUGCUGAAAUGCAAAUUUGGUUCCUUACUUCUUUGACGAGAACCAAAAUAAAUAUGUUAGGAAUUAUGUUAA